Molecule: ribosomal RNA, 506 nt
Filed under: uncultured bacterium
Lineage: Bacteria
Description: partial 16S ribosomal RNA
Rfam family: Bacterial small subunit ribosomal RNA
Source: RNAcentral
GAUGAACGCUAGCUACAGGCUUAACACAUGCAAGUCGAGGGGUAACGAGAGGAAAGCUUGCUUUCCUUGUCGACGACCGGCGCACGGGUGAGUAACGCGUAUCCAACCUGCCCCCAACUAGGGAAUAACCCUGCGAAAGUAAGACUAAUACCCUAUAAUUUCCUCAGAUGUCAUCUGACGAGGAAUAAAGAUUUAUCGGUUGUGGACGGGGAUGGGUCUGAUUAGCUUGUUGGCGGGGUAACGGCCCACCAAGGCAACGAUCCGUAGGGGGUCAGGGAGGAAGGUCCCCCACAUUGGAACCGAGACACGGUCCAAACUCCUACGGGAGGCAGCAGUGAGGAAUAUUGGUCAAUGGGCGGAAGCCUGAACCAGCCAAGUAGCGUGCAGGGUGACGGCCCUAUGGGUUGUAAACUGCUUUUAUACAGGAAUAAAGUUAGCCACGUGUGGUUAUUUGUAGGUACUGUAUGAAUAGGGACCGGCUAAUUCCGUGCCAGCCGCCGCGGUAA